UACAGAGGAGCCAAGCGUUGUCCGGAUUGACUGGGCGUAAAGCGCACGCAGGCGGUGGUGCGCGUGGGGUGUGAAAUCUGGCCGCUUAACGGCCAGGCGCCAUCCCAUACGGCACGACUGGAGGGCUGCAGAGGUCGAUGGAAUUGCCGGUGUAGUGGUGAAAUGCGUAGAGAUCGGCAGGAACACCCAGGGGGAAACCAGUCGACUGGGCAGCACCUGACGCUGAGGUGCGAGAGCGUGGGGAGCGAACCGG
This 253-nucleotide ribosomal RNA is filed under the name uncultured bacterium. RNAcentral describes it as "partial 16S ribosomal RNA". It matches the Rfam family "Bacterial small subunit ribosomal RNA", at positions 524 to 776 of the family's 1533-position model. The record is from RNAcentral.